GAGGGUAUAGCUCAGUGGUAGAGCACAAGCUUAGCAUGCAUGACGUGGUGGGUUCAAUCCCCAGAACCUCC
RNAcentral lists this transfer RNA (71 nucleotides) under Camelus bactrianus (Bactrian camel). It matches the Rfam family "tRNA". From Rfam's summary of the family: Transfer RNA (tRNA) molecules are approximately 80 nucleotides in length. Their secondary structure includes four short double-helical elements and three loops (D, anti-codon, and T loops). Further hydrogen bonds mediate the characteristic L-shaped molecular structure. tRNAs have two regions of fundamental functional importance: the anti-codon, which is responsible for specific mRNA codon recognition, and the 3' end, to which the tRNAs corresponding amino acid is attached (by aminoacyl-tRNA synthetases). tRNAs cope with the degeneracy of the genetic code in two manners: having more than one tRNA (with a specific anti-codon) for a particular amino acid; and 'wobble' base-pairing, i.e. permitting non-standard base-pairing at the 3rd anti-codon position. RNAcentral also lists the same sequence under 2 other names. Lineage: Eukaryota; Metazoa; Chordata; Mammalia; Artiodactyla; Camelidae. The record is from Rfam by way of RNAcentral.